CGCGUAGGUGGCCUUCUUAGUCAGACGUGAAAUCCCCAGGCUUAACCUGGGAACUGCGUCUGAUACUGGAAGGCUCGAGUUCGGGAGAGGAAUGUGGAAUUCCAGGUGUAGCGGUGAAAUGCGUAGAUAUCUGGAGGAACACCGGUGGCGAAGGCGGCAUUCUGGCCGAAACUGACGCUGAGGCGCGAAAGCCAGGGGAGCAAACG
RNAcentral lists this ribosomal RNA (206 nucleotides) under uncultured bacterium. Its description in RNAcentral is "partial 16S ribosomal RNA". It matches the Rfam family "Bacterial small subunit ribosomal RNA", at positions 568 to 774 of the family's 1533-position model. The record is from RNAcentral.